Molecule: transfer RNA, 77 nt
Filed under: Aequorivita viscosa
Lineage: Bacteria; Pseudomonadati; Bacteroidota; Flavobacteriia; Flavobacteriales; Flavobacteriaceae
Description: tRNA_Met_CAT
Rfam family: tRNA
About the family: Transfer RNA (tRNA) molecules are approximately 80 nucleotides in length. Their secondary structure includes four short double-helical elements and three loops (D, anti-codon, and T loops).
Source: RNAcentral
GGCGAGGUAGCUCAGCUGGUUAGAGCGUCGGAUUCAUAACCCGGAGGCCUCGGGUUCAAGUCCCGAUCUCGCUACAA